RNAcentral lists this transfer RNA (73 nucleotides) under Anneissia japonica. RNAcentral's name for it is "tRNA-Val". Lineage: Eukaryota; Metazoa; Echinodermata; Crinoidea; Comatulida; Comatulidae. The record is from RNAcentral.
GGUUCCGUAGUGUAGCGGUUAUCACAUCUGCCUAACACGUAGAAGGUCCCCGGUUCGAGCCCAGGUGGAAUCA